GACGAACGCUGGCGGCGUGCUUAACACAUGCAAGUCGAACGGAAAGGCCCUACUUUUGUGGGGUGCUCGAGUGGCGAACGGGUGAGUAACACGUGAGUAACCUGCCCUUGACUUUGGGAUAACUUCAGGAAACUGGGGUUAAUACCGGAUAGGAGCUCCUGCUGCAUGGAGGGGGUUGGAAAGUUUCGGCGGUUGGGGUUGGAUGCGCGGCUUAUCAGCUUGUUGGUGGGGUAGUGGCUUACCCAGGCUUUGACGGGUAGCCGGCCUGAGAGGGUGAACGGCCACAUUGGGACUGAGAGACGGACCAGACUGCUACGGGAGGCAGCAGUGGGGAAUAUUGCACAAUGGGCGGAAGCCGGAGGCAGCAACGCCGCGGGCGGGAUGACGGCCUUCGGGGUGUAAACCGCUGUCGCCUGUGACGAAGCGGGAGUGACGGUAAUGGGUAAAGAAGCACCGGCUAACUACGUG
RNAcentral lists this ribosomal RNA (468 nucleotides) under uncultured bacterium. RNAcentral describes it as "partial 16S ribosomal RNA". It matches the Rfam family "Bacterial small subunit ribosomal RNA", at positions 28 to 507 of the family's 1533-position model. The record is from RNAcentral.